This 73-nucleotide transfer RNA is filed under the name Phycisphaerae bacterium. RNAcentral's name for it is "tRNA-Met". It matches the Rfam family "tRNA". Rfam says of the family: Transfer RNA (tRNA) molecules are approximately 80 nucleotides in length. Their secondary structure includes four short double-helical elements and three loops (D, anti-codon, and T loops). Further hydrogen bonds mediate the characteristic L-shaped molecular structure. tRNAs have two regions of fundamental functional importance: the anti-codon, which is responsible for specific mRNA codon recognition, and the 3' end, to which the tRNAs corresponding amino acid is attached (by aminoacyl-tRNA synthetases). tRNAs cope with the degeneracy of the genetic code in two manners: having more than one tRNA (with a specific anti-codon) for a particular amino acid; and 'wobble' base-pairing, i.e. permitting non-standard base-pairing at the 3rd anti-codon position. Lineage: Bacteria; Pseudomonadati; Planctomycetota; Phycisphaerae. The record is from RNAcentral.
GGCCCCGUAGCUCAGCGGUUAGAGCAAGCGACUCAUAAUCGCCAGGUCCUCGGUUCGAAUCCGGGCGGGGCUA